Molecule: long non-coding RNA, 601 nt
Organism: Glycine soja
Lineage: Eukaryota; Viridiplantae; Streptophyta; Magnoliopsida; Fabales; Fabaceae
Exons: 3
Source: RefSeq, a predicted model, not a curated record
UUUGCUUCAAUAUCAAUUGUCAAAAAAAGGAAGUAAAAUAUGGGGCUACUCUUUUAAGCAACUGGCAAUUGAACCAAGUUAAGGGAGUACCUUUUUAAUCUUCUAAGCCUUUUUUUUUUCUUUUCUUUGUUAUCACCACCUACACACAAUUAAAAUUCUGCAACUACAAUGCAUUUCUACAGGAGAAGUGCAUCCAGAGACCAUAUCUGGACUGUUCAAAUUACUCAGACUUUGCUUGGUGAUCCUCAGCCUCUGAAACUUCCACCUUCUACAUAGAUGCCUCUUAAUGGUUGUGCUCAUCUCAUGACAAUAUUAAGACGAUUUGGCCUUCGACAUUGGGUGUUGCCUACGAUAUUCCCGUGAUUCAAAUUUGUCACCAUAAGCAGGUGGGGCAACCACAGGAUUUGAAGAAGUAAGUGUUUCUCUCAUUUUUCACUUCAAUUUUAUUUUUUUAAUUUUUCAUGCUCUGUUACACUUGCUGGUCUUUUUUGUUUUGGGGAUUCGACACACAUGCACAAAUGAACUAUGAUUGAAAGUUAGAACUAAUUUUUUCUUCACAUGCUUCAGGCUUCAACCACAAGUUAGAUUCUUUAUUCUUCAU